UAGAGUUUGAUCCUGGCUCAGAUUGAACGCUGGCGGCAGGCUUAACACAUGCAAGUCGAGCGGAGAGAGGUAGCUUGCUACUGAUCUUAGCGGCGGACGGGUGAGUAAUGCUUAGGAAUCUGCCUAUUAGUGGGGGACAACAUUUCGAAAGGAAUGCUAAUACCGCAUACGUCCUACGGGAGAAAGCAGGGGAUCUUCGGACCUUGCGCUAAUAGAUGAGCCUAAGUCGGAUUAGCUAGUUGGUGGGGUAAAGGCCUACCAAGGCGACGAUCUGUAGCGGGUCUGAGAGGAUGAUCCGCCACACUGGGACUGAGACACGGCCCAGACUCCUACGGGAGGCAGCAGUGGGGAAUAUUGGACAAUGGGCGCAAGCCUGAUCCAGCCAUGCCGCGUGUGUGAAGAAGGCCUUAUGGUUGUAAAGCACUUUAAGCGAGGAGGAGGCUACUUUAGUUAAUACCUAGAGAUAGUGGACGUUACUCGCAGAAUAAGCACCGGCUAACUCUGUGCCAGCAGCCGCGGUAAUACAGAGGGUGCAAGCGUUAAUCGGAUUUACUGGGCGUAAAGCGCGCGUAGGCGGCUAAUUAAGUCAAAUGUGAAAUCCCCGAGCUUAACUUGGGAAUUGCAUUCGAUACUGGUUAGCUAGAGUGUGGGAGAGGAUGGUAGAAUUCCAGGUGUAGCGGUGAAAUGCGUAGAGAUCUGGAGGAAUACCGAUGGCGAAGGCAGCCAUCUGGCCUAACACUGACGCUGAGGUGCGAAAGCAUGGGGAGCAAACAGGAUUAGAUACCCUGGUAGUCCAUGCCGUAAACGAUGUCUACUAGCCGUUGGGGCCUUUGAGGCUUUAGUGGCGCAGCUAACGCGAUAAGUAGACCGCCUGGGGAGUACGGUCGCAAGACUAAAACUCAAAUGAAUUGACGGGGGCCCGCACAAGCGGUGGAACCAUGUGGUUUAAUUCGAUGCAACGCGAAGAACCUUACCUGGCCUUGACAUAGUAAGAACUUUCCAGAGAUGGAUUGGUGCCUUCGGGAACUUACAUACAGGUGCUGCAUGGCUGUCGUCAGCUCGUGUCGUGAGAUGUUGGGUUAAGUCCCGCAACGAGCGCAACCCUUUUCCUUAUUUGCCAGCGAGUAAUGUCGGGAACUUUAAGGAUACUGCCAGUGACAAACUGGAGGAAGGCGGGGACGACGUCAAGUCAUCAUGGCCCUUACGGCCAGGGCUACACACGUGCUACAAUGGUCGGUACAAAGGGUUGCUACCUAGCGAUAGGAUGCUAAUCUCAAAAAGCCGAUCGUAGUCCGGAUUGGAGUCUGCAACUCGACUCCAUGAAGUCGGAAUCGCUAGUAAUCGCGGAUCAGAAUGCCGCGGUGAAUACGUUCCCGGGCCUUGUACACACCGCCCGUCACACCAUGGGAGUUUGUUGCACCAGAAGUAGCUAGCCUAACUGCAAAGAGGGCGGUUACCACGGUGUGGCCGAUGACUGGGGUGAAGUCGUAACAAGGUAGCCGUAGGGGAACCUGNGGAUGGAUCACCUCCUUA
This 1533-nucleotide ribosomal RNA is filed under the name Acinetobacter pittii. Its description in RNAcentral is "partial 16S ribosomal RNA". It matches the Rfam family "Bacterial small subunit ribosomal RNA". RNAcentral also lists the same sequence under 1 other name. The record is from RNAcentral. Lineage: Bacteria; Pseudomonadati; Pseudomonadota; Gammaproteobacteria; Moraxellales; Moraxellaceae.